GACGAACGCUGGCGGCGUGCCUAAUACAUGCAAGUAGAACGCUGAAGAGAGGAGCUUGCUCUUCUUGGAUGAGUUGCGAACGGGUGAGUAACGCGUAGGUAACCUGCCUUAUAGCGGGGGAUAACUAUUGGAAACGAUAGCUAAUACCGCAUAACAAUGGAUGACACAUGUCAUUUAUUUGAAAGGGGCAAUUGCUCCACUACAAGAUGGACCUGCGUUGUAUUAGCUAGUAGGUGAGGUAACGGCUCACCUAGGCGACGAUACAUAGCCGACCCGAGAGGGUGAUCGGCCACACUGGGACUGAGACACGGCCCAGACUCCUACGGGAGGCAGCAGUAGGGAAUCUUCGGCAAUGGGGGCAACCCUGACCGAGCAACGCCGCGUGAGUGAAGAAGGUUUUCGGAUCGUAAAGCUCUGUUGUAAGUCAAGAACGAGUGUGAGAGUGGAAAGUUCACACUGUGACGGUAGCUUACCAGAAAGGGACGGCUAACUACGUGCCAGCAGCCGCGGUAAUACGUAGGUCCCGAGCGUUGUCCGGAUUUAUUGGGCGUAAAGCGAGCGCAGGCGGUUUGAUAAGUCUGAAGUUAAAGGCUGUGGCUCAACCAUAGUUUGCUUUGGAAACUGUCAAACUUGAGUGCAGAAGGGGAGAGUGGAAUUCCAUGUGUAGCGGUGAAAUGCGUAGAUAUAUGGAGGAACACCGGUGGCGAAAGCGGCUCUCUGGUCUGUAACUGACGCUGAGGCUCGAAAGCGUGGGGAGCGAACAGGAUUAGAUACCCUGGUAGUCCACGCCGUAAACGAUGAGUGCUAGGUGUUGGAUCCUUUCCGGGAUUCAGUGCCGCAGCUAACGCAUUAAGCACUCCGCCUGGGGAGUACGACCGCAAGGUUGAAACUCAAAGGAAUUGACGGGGGCCCGCACAAGCGGUGGAGCAUGUGGUUUAAUUCGAAGCAACGCGAAGAACCUUACCAGGUCUUGACAUCCCGAUGCUAUUUCUAGAGAUAGAAAGUUACUUCGGUACAUCGGUGACAGGUGGUGCAUGGUUGUCGUCAGCUCGUGUCGUGAGAUGUUGGGUUAAGUCCCGCAACGAGCGCAACCCCUAUUGUUAGUUGCCAUCAUUCAGUUGGGCACUCUAGCGAGACUGCCGGUAAUAAACCGGAGGAAGGUGGGGAUGACGUCAAAUCAUCAUGCCCCUUAUGACCUGGGCUACACACGUGCUACAAUGGUUGGUACAACGAGUUGCAAGUCGGUGACGGCAAGCUAAUCUCUUAAAGCCAAUCUCAGUUCGGAUUGUAGGCUGCAACUCGCCUACAUGAAGUCGGAAUCGCUAGUAAUCGCGGAUCAGCACGCCGCGGUGAAUACGUUCCCGGGCCU
Molecule: ribosomal RNA, 1369 nt
Filed under: uncultured bacterium
Lineage: Bacteria
Description: bacterial SSU rRNA
Rfam family: Bacterial small subunit ribosomal RNA
Source: RNAcentral